UCUUUUUCUUCCCUCCCUCCCCCCUUCUCCCUCGUUGAAUGCCCUCCUUCGCGCCAGAUCAAGAAUUCGCCAGCCCCGACUUCAGUGCCAACCACCCCCUCGCCCAGCCUCAUUCGUCGUUCACUGUCCAGCCUCGGUCGUCCGUCGUUCCGAUCGAAGCUCGCCAAGCCAGCCUUCCUUCCUAGUUGCACCGCGCGAGAUUCUCCCUUCGCCGCCCGUUUCGCCUGUUGUCGCUGGUUCGCUCCUCUAACCGUCCGCUCGUGCUGAUCGUCGGUUGAGCCAGCCGACCUUCUUCAUCUAAAGCAUUGCCCAGCCCCCGUUGAUGGCUUUACUACCGGAUCUGUUGUUGGCCGCCGUCCAUUGGGAGAAGGAUAUGACUGAAGAGAGAUUUUGGAGAUUGGAAUCUUGAGGGUGGUCGUUGGGAAAUUGAAUUCAAGGAUUGGUUGAUGGAGACUAUUGUUGGGAUUAAUAUCUGAAGUUAGCUUGAGGUGAGGGUAGGGACAUGUCGGCGAAUGACAAGAGGAAUCCAUGAACGAGCCACCGGGGACCAGUUUUAUGCUUCUGCUCAUGAUAUUUAGAUUUCUUUUCAUGUUUUUUACUUUCAGUUUUGAUGUUUGAAACUUACUGUUAAGAU
This is a long non-coding RNA of Benincasa hispida (wax gourd), 634 nucleotides long. RefSeq lists it as uncharacterized. The record is from RefSeq and is a predicted model, not a curated record. NCBI's taxonomy places the organism in Eukaryota, Viridiplantae, Streptophyta, Magnoliopsida, Cucurbitales, Cucurbitaceae.